UUAAAUUGAAGAGUUUGAUCAUGGCUCAGAUUGAACGCUGGCGGCAGGCCUAACACAUGCAAGUCGAACGGUAACAGGAAGCAGCUUGCUGCUUCGCUGACGAGUGGCGGACGGGGGAGUAAUGUCUGGGAAACUGCCUGAUGGAGGGGGAUAACUACUGGAAACGGUAGCUAAUACCGCAUAACGUCGCAAGACCAAAGAGGGGGACCUUCGGGCCUCUUGCCAUCGGAUGUGCCCAGAUGGGAUUAGCUUGUUGGUGGGGUAACGGCUCACCAAGGCGACGAUCCCUAGCUGGUCUGAGAGGAUGACCAGCCACACUGGAACUGAGACACGGUCCAGACUCCUACGGGAGGCAGCAGUGGGGAAUAUUGCACAAUGGGCGCAAGCCUGAUGCAGCCAUGCCGCGUGUAUGAAGAAGGCCUUCGGGUUGUAAAGUACUUUCAGCGGGGAGGAAGGGAGUAAAGUUAAUACCUUUGCUCAUUGACGUUACCCGCAGAAGAAGCACCGGCUAACUCCGUGCCAGCAGCCGCGGUAAUACGGAGGGUGCAAGCGUUAAUCGGAAUUACUGGGCGUAAAGCGCACGCAGGCGGUUUGUUAAGUC
RNAcentral lists this ribosomal RNA (601 nucleotides) under Escherichia coli. Its description in RNAcentral is "bacterial SSU rRNA". It matches the Rfam family "Bacterial small subunit ribosomal RNA", at positions 1 to 589 of the family's 1533-position model. Lineage: Bacteria; Pseudomonadati; Pseudomonadota; Gammaproteobacteria; Enterobacterales; Enterobacteriaceae. The record is from RNAcentral.